Molecule: ribosomal RNA, 494 nt
Filed under: uncultured bacterium
Lineage: Bacteria
Description: partial 16S ribosomal RNA
Rfam family: Bacterial small subunit ribosomal RNA
Source: RNAcentral
GACGAACGCUGGCGGCGUGCCUAAUACAUGCAAGUAGAACGCUGAAGGAGGAGCUUGCUUCUCUGGAUGAGUUGCGAACGGGUGAGUAACGCGUAGGUAACCUGCCUGGUAGCGGGGGAUAACUAUUGGAAACGAUAGCUAAUACCGCAUAAGAGUAGAUGUUGCAUGACAUUUGCUUAAAAGGUGCAAUUGCAUCACUACCAGAUGGACCUGCGUUGUAUUAGCUAGUUGGUGGGGUAACGGCUCACCAAGGCGACGAUACAUAGCCGACCUGAGAGGGGGAUCGGCCACACUGGGACUGAGACACGGCCCAGACUCCUACGGGAGGCAGCAGUAGGGAAUCUUCGGCAAUGGACGGAAGUCUGACCGAGCAACGCCGCGUGAGUGAAGAAGGUUUUCGGAUCGUAAAGCUCUGUUGUAAGAGAAGAACGAGUGUGAGAGUGGAAAGUUCACACUGUGACGGUAUCUUACCAGAAAGGGACGGCUAACUACGU